This 504-nucleotide ribosomal RNA is filed under the name uncultured bacterium. RNAcentral describes it as "bacterial SSU rRNA". It matches the Rfam family "Bacterial small subunit ribosomal RNA", at positions 28 to 520 of the family's 1533-position model. The record is from RNAcentral.
GAUGAACGCUAGCGACAGGCCUAACACAUGCAAGUCGAGGGGCAGCGGGGGCGAAGCUUGCUUUGCCUGCCGGCGACCGGCGCACGGGUGAGUAACACGUAUGGAACCUGCCCGCCACAGGGGGAUAACCGGUAGAAAUGCCGACUAAUACCCCGUAUGCCCACAGGGGCGCAUGCCCUGGUGGGGAAACAUUCAUGGGUGGCGGAUGGCCAUGCGGCGCAUUAGCUGGUUGGCGGGGUAACGGCCCACCAAGGCGACGAUGCGUAGGGGUUCUGAGAGGAAGGUCCCCCCACAUUGGAACUGAGACACGGUCCAAACUCCUACGGGAGGCAGCAGUGAGGAAUAUUGGUCAAUGGGCGAGAGCCUGAACCAGCCAAGUAGCGUGCAGGACGACGGCCCUAUGGGUUGUAACUGCUUUUAUGCGGGGAUAAAGUGUGGGACGUGUCCCAUAUUGCAGGUACUGCAUGAAUAAGGACCGGCUAAUUCCGUGCCAGCAGCCGACGG